GAUGAACGCUGGCGGCGUGCCUAAUACAUGCAAGUCGAGCGAACAGACGAGGAGCUUGCUCCUCUGACGUUAGCGGCGGACGGGUGAGUAACACGUGGAUAACCUACCUAUAAGACUGGGAUAACUUCGGAAACCGGAGCUAAUACCGGAUAAUAUAUUGAACCGCAUGGUUCAAUAGUGAAAGACGGUUUUGCUGUCACUUAUAGAUGGAUCCGCGCCGCAUUAGCUAGUUGGUAAGGUAACGGCUUACCAAGGCAACGAUGCGUAGCCGACCUGAGAGGGUGAUCGGCCACACUGGAACUGAGACACGGUCCAGACUCCUACGGGAGGCAGCAGUAGGGAAUCUUCCGCAAUGGGCGAAAGCCUGACGGAGCAACGCCGCGUGAGUGAUGAAGGUCUUCGGAUCGUAAAACUCUGUUAUUAGGGAAGAACAAAUGUGUAAGUAACUAUGCACGUCUUGACGGUACCUAAUCAGAAAGCCACGGCUAACUACGUG
This 496-nucleotide ribosomal RNA is filed under the name uncultured bacterium. RNAcentral describes it as "partial 16S ribosomal RNA". It matches the Rfam family "Bacterial small subunit ribosomal RNA", at positions 28 to 507 of the family's 1533-position model. The record is from RNAcentral.